CAGUCGCCGCGGGAACACGUAGGUGGCAAGCGUUGUCCGGAAUUAUUGGGCGUAAAGGGCUCGCAGGCGGUUUCUUAAGUCUGAUGUGAAAGCCCCCGGCUCAACCGGGGAGGGUCAUUGGAAACUGGGAAACUUGAGUGCAGAAGAGGAGAGUGGAAUUCCACGUGUAGCGGUGAAAUGCGUAGAGAUGUGGAGGAACACCAGUGGCGAAGGCGACUCUCUGGUCUGUAACUGACGCUGAGGAGCGAAAGCGUGGGGAGCGAACAGGAUUAGAGACCCCGGUAGUCCCUGUCUCUUAUAA
RNAcentral lists this ribosomal RNA (301 nucleotides) under uncultured bacterium. RNAcentral's name for it is "partial 16S ribosomal RNA". It matches the Rfam family "Bacterial small subunit ribosomal RNA", at positions 509 to 809 of the family's 1533-position model. The record is from RNAcentral.